This 2887-nucleotide ribosomal RNA is filed under the name Euhalothece natronophila Z-M001. RNAcentral describes it as "23S ribosomal RNA". It matches the Rfam family "Bacterial large subunit ribosomal RNA". The record is from RNAcentral. Lineage: Bacteria; Bacillati; Cyanobacteriota; Cyanophyceae; Chroococcales; Halothecacae.
AGGUCAAGCUACAAAGAGCUAACGGUAGAGCCCUCGGCACACAGAGGCGAAGAAGGACGUGGUAACCGACGAAACGCUACGGGGAGCUGGAAACAAGCAUUGAGCCGUAGGUGUCCGAAUGGGAAAACCCCUUUGAACGGUCUGCUGAAUCUAUAGGCAGACACGAGCCAACGCGGUGAACUGAAACAUCUUAGUAGCUGUAGGAAAAGAAAACAACCGUGAUUCCCCUAGUAGCGGCGAGCGAACGGGGAAAAGCCUAAACCAGUUACUGCGGUAGCUGGGGUAGAGGGACAGCAUCACGGGACAGGAAAAGUUAAACGAAGCAGCUGAAAACUGCACCAGAGAAGGUAAAAGUCCUGUAGUUGAAAACCAGACCUGCCCAGCUGUAUCCCGAGUAGCUCGGAACACGAGAAAUCCCGAGUGAAUCAGCCAGGACCACCUGGUAAGGCUAAAUACUCCUGUGUGACCGAUAGCGAACCAGUACCGCGAGGGAAAGGUGAAAAGAACCCCGGCGAGGGGAGUGAAAAAGAACGUGAAACCGUUAGCUUACAAGCAGUGGGAGGACGAUUAAACGUCUGACCGCGUGCCUGUUGAAGAAUGAGCCAGCGAGUAAUUGCUAGUGGCCGGUUAAGCUGGAAACAGCGAAGCCCAAGGGAAACCGAGUCUGAAAAGGGCGUAAGUCACCAGCAAUUGACCCGAACCCGGGUGAACUAACCAUGGCCAGGAGGAAGCUUGGGUAGUACCAAGUGGAAGUCCGAACCGACCAACGUUGAAAAGUUGGCGGAUGAGCUGUGGUUAGCGGUGAAAUGCCAAUCGAACUCGGAGCUAUCUGGUUCUCCCCGAAAUGCGUUUAGGCGCAGCAGCGACAACAACCCACUGGGGGUAAAGCACUGUUUCGCUGCGGGCUGCGAAAGCGGUACCAAAGCGAGGCAAACUCAGAAUACCAGUGGCGAGGUCGCCAGUGAGACGGUGGGGGAUAAGCUUCAUCGUCAAGAGGGAAACAGCCCAGACCACCAGCUAAGGUCCCCAAAUGAUGGCUAAGUGAAAAAGGAGGUAGGAACGCAAAGACAACCAGGAGGUUUGCCUAGAAGCAGCCACCCUUAAAAGAGUGCGUAAUAGCUCACUGGUCAAGCGUUCCCGCGCCGAAAAUGAACGGGGCUAAGUCAUCUACCGAAGCUGUGGACUCAUUUAUGAGUGGUAGGGGAGCGUUGUUAAGCGGGAGAAGCACUAGCGGCAAGCAGGUGUGGACGCUUAACAAGUGAGAAUGUUGGCUUGAGUAGCGAAAACUUUGGUAAGAAUCCAAAGCCCCGAAACCCCAAGGGUUCCUCCGGAAGGCUCGUCCGCGGAGGGUUAGUCAGGACCUAAGGCGAGGCGGAAACGCGUAGUCGAUGGACAACGGGUGAAUAAUCCCGUACUAGUGUGAGUUGGUGUCGGGGGACGGAGAAGGUUUAACUCAGCCCAGGGAUGGAAAACUGGGUGCAAGCGUUCGAAGGUGAAGACGGGUGGCGAAAACACCCCGAGCUAAGGCGUGAGACCGACUCGCUACGGCGAGGAAGUGAGACAAAUCAGACUCCCCAGAAAAGCCCGAAGCACCAAAAACUCAGACUACCUGUACCCGAAACCGACACAGGUGGGGAAGUAGAGAAUACUAAGGGGCGCGAGAAAACUCUCUCUAAGGAACUCGGCAAAAUCACCCCGUAACUUCGGGAGAAGGGGUACCAGCGAGAGCUGGUCGCAGUGAAGAGGCCCAGGCGACUGUUUACCAAAAACACAGGUCUCCGCCAACUCGAAAGAGGAAGUAUGGGGGCUGACGCCUGCCCAGUGCUGGAAGGUUAAGGAAGUUGGUUAGUCCUUCGGGACGAAGCUAGCAACCGAAGCCCCAGUGAACGGCGGCCGUAACUAUAACGGUCCUAAGGUAGCGAAAUUCCUUGUCGGGUAAGUUCCGACCCGCACGAAAGGCGUAACGAUCUGGGCGCUGUCUCGGAGAGAGACUCGGCGAAAUAGGAGUGUCUGUGAAGAUACGGACUACCUACACCAGGACAGAAAGACCCCAUGAAGCUUUACUGUAACCUGAAGUGGGGUUCGGGCUGAGCUUGCGCAGGAUAGGUGGGAGGCGAAGAAAGUUUCCUUGUGGGGAAACUGGAGCCAUCCUUGAGAUACCACUCUGGUUCAGCUAGAAUUCUAACCUUCACCCGUAAACCGGGGAAGGGACAGCUGCAGGCGGGCAGUUUGACUGGGGCGGUCGCCUCCUAAAAGGUAACGGAGGCGCGCCAAGGUUCCCUCAGGCUGGUUGGAAAUCAGCCGCAGAGUGCAAAGGCAGAAGGGAGCUUGACUGUAAGACUGACAAGUCGAGCAGGGACGAAAGUCGGCCUUAGUGAUCCGACGGCCCUGCGUGGAAAGGCCGUCGCUCAACGGAUAAAAGUUACUCUGGGGAUAACAGGCUGAUCUCCCCCAAGAGUUCACAUCGACGGGGAGGUUUGGCACCUCGAUGUCGGCUCAUCGCAACCUGGGGCUGAAGUCGGUCCCAAGGGUUGGGCUGUUCGCCCAUUAAAGCGGUACGCGAGCUGGGUUCAGAACGUCGUGAGACAGUUCGGUCCAUAUCCGGUGUAGGCGCAAGAGCAUUGAGAGGAGCCUUCCUUAGUACGAGAGGACCGGGAAGGACGCACCGCUGGUGUACCUGUUAUCGUGCCAACGGUAAACGCAGGGUAGCCAAGUGCGGAGCGGAUAACCGCUGAAAGCAUCUAAGUGGGAAGCCCACCUCAAGAUGAGUGCUCUCAUUCCGCAAAGGAAGUAAGGUCACAGGAAGAACACCUGUUUAUUCGGCGCUCGGUGGAAGUCUGGUAACAGAUGAAGCCAAAGCGUGCGAACCGACCGAGGGCUUGACCUC